GAGUGUAGAUCAUGCAACCCCACACUGAAAACCACGAUGACACAGAGCAUUUAUUUUACAUUUUCAUGGUGGCACAUCCAGUGUGAUGAUAUGUAUUUUUAAGAGAAGAGGCCUCGCUGAGGAUUAAAGAUCUUGGGAUGUUCAAAGCUGCUGUAAAUGCAUAAGGAAGAAGUGAGAAAAAGGAUCAGCUCCCAGGUGAGCCUGGGCACAGCCAGGUGUGGAGGAGUGCCAUCACCAUCCUCUUGUAUGACAGUCAGCAAUGCCUGCUGCAGGACACUGUGGGCUUUUUUUGCCCCAUCAAAGAAGCUCUGUGGAAAAAUUUUUUGGGAGCCGUGUCCACUGUUGGAGGCCACAGCUGGAGACAAGAUGCCAGAACUGAUGCACGUUCUGCCCGACAGGCCCAAGGGGUGAGGAAGGUAAAUGUGACCAAGCUCCAUCUGUGCCAUGAAACUGGAGACAAGGAAG
This is a long non-coding RNA of Chiroxiphia lanceolata (lance-tailed manakin), 465 nucleotides long. RefSeq lists it as uncharacterized. The transcript is spliced from 3 exons. The record is from RefSeq and is a predicted model, not a curated record. Lineage: Eukaryota; Metazoa; Chordata; Aves; Passeriformes; Pipridae.